RNAcentral lists this ribosomal RNA (248 nucleotides) under uncultured Lactobacillus sp. RNAcentral's name for it is "partial 16S ribosomal RNA". It matches the Rfam family "Bacterial small subunit ribosomal RNA", at positions 116 to 354 of the family's 1533-position model. Lineage: Bacteria; Bacillati; Bacillota; Bacilli; Lactobacillales; Lactobacillaceae. The record is from RNAcentral.
CGUGGGGAACCUGCCCCAUAGUCUGGGAUACCACUUGGAAACAGGUGCUAAUACCGGAUAAGAAAGCAGAUCGCAUGAUCAGCUUUUAAAAAGGCGGCGUAAGCUGUCGCUAUGGGAUGGCCCCGCGGUGCAUUAGCUAGUUGGUAAGGUAAAGGCUUACCAAGGCGAUGAUGCAUAGCCGAGUUGAGAGACUGAUCGGCCACAUUGGGACUGAGACACGGCCCAAACUCCUACGGGAGGCAGCAGAU